CCUACGGGAGGCAGCAGUGGGGGAUAUUGCACAAUGGGGGAAACCCUGAUGCAGCGACGCCGCGUGAGUGAAGAAGUAUUUCGGUAUGUAAAGCUCCAUUAGUAGGGAAGAAAAUGACAGUACUUGACCAAGAAGCCGAGGCUAACUACGUGCCAGCAGCCGCGGUAAUACGUAGGCGGCAAGCGUUAUCCGGAUUCACUGGGUGUAAAGGGAGCGUAGGCGGUUAUGUAAGUCUGGAGUGAAAGCCGGGGGCCCAACCCCGGGACUGCUUUGGAAACUGUGUAACUGGAGUACAGGAGGGGCAGGCGGAAUUCCUGGUGUAGCGGUGAAAUGCGUAGAUAUCAAGAGGAACACCGGCGGCGAAGGCGGCCUGCUGGACUGAAACUGACGUUGAGGCACGAAAGCGUGGGGAGCAAACAGGAUUAGAUACCCUUGUAGUC
Molecule: ribosomal RNA, 440 nt
Filed under: uncultured bacterium
Lineage: Bacteria
Description: partial 16S ribosomal RNA
Rfam family: Bacterial small subunit ribosomal RNA
Source: RNAcentral